Molecule: ribosomal RNA, 253 nt
Filed under: uncultured bacterium
Lineage: Bacteria
Description: partial 16S ribosomal RNA
Rfam family: Bacterial small subunit ribosomal RNA
Source: RNAcentral
UACGGAGAGGGCUAGCGUUGUUCGGAAUUACUGGGCGUAAAGCGCGCGUAGGCGGACCUGCAAGUCGGGGGUGAAAGCCCGAGGCUCAACCUCGGAACUGCCUUCGAUACUGCGGGUCUCGAGUCCGGGAGAGGUGAGUGGAAUUCCUAGUGUAGAGGUGAAAUGCGCAGAUAUCAGGAGGAACACCGGUGGCGAAGGCGGUUCUCUGGGCCUGUACUGACGCUGAGGAACGAAAGCGUGGGGAGCGAACAGG